AGGGAGUAGUUUGUUUUAAAUGCUUAUUCUUUAAGAAAGAAAUAAAAUGAAACGGAAUAUGAGAGAAAACGGUAACGGAACCCAGCAAUUCAUUCAUCGCCUUCACGCAAAAACUCUCCCACUCCCUCACUCUCAAAAUUUUCGCAACCCUCUCCCUCACUCUCGUCACUCUCCAGCGCUCAUACUAACCUUGCGAUACUACUCUCAAUCUCACUCUAAACGCAAAACCAAGGUUUUAAAGAGAAUCAAAUAAGAACACUCACCUUCGGCAGUGGUUCGGCGGCGACGGCGAGGCUUGGAUCUUCCUUCUUCGCCUCAAAGUUUUCUUUUUAAGGUUGGCUUAUGGAGAUCGAAACAGGUAUCUCUGCGAAACCCUUUCAGUAUGCUCAGAAUUUGUUCUGCCACUUUGAUGCUUGUUCUGGAACGUGAAAACCAGAACCUUCAUGAGUGGUUUACAGAUUUCUUCUUCUACUUUGUGAUACAGGCUAUAGCACAGCGUUUCUGAAUCAUCACAGCAAGAGAUAUGCAGCUUUAAAAGUAAUGUGCUUUGAAAAAAGGUGUUUUUGUUAUGGAAAUCCUAGGGUGGAGUUCUAGUGUGGAUGAAGUUCUUAGAUCCGCUUCUGGUUCGGUUGAGGAUGUGAAACUGUUUUGCUGUGAUCAAACUCAGGUUAACCAUUUGCCUUGGAAGUUAUGUUAGAGGCUGCUAUGGAGUUUUCGGUUUUGUAUGGAGGUUAACCAACCAAUUAGUAAGGGCGGAUUCAGGUUGUGGCUUUGAAUCAUGCUGUUGGAGGUUAGGUUUUUUCUUGGCAGGGUGUUGGUUUGCCAUCAAAGAAGGUUGAAAGGCUUAAUGAUGUAUUAUAAAGCUUUCUUUGGAGUUGGCUAGGAAUUGUAGAUUGCGGGUUUUGUGUAUUUUUUGAUUGAAAACCUUGUAUACAGAUGUAAUUGGGUUAAAUGGAAUUUGAAUGGUGUAAUUGAAUAUUAUAGUUGGAAUUGAAAAUUGUAUGGUUUCAAUGCAGUGGGCUUUGAA
Long non-coding RNA from Lathyrus oleraceus (garden pea), 1027 nucleotides. RefSeq lists it as uncharacterized. The transcript is spliced from 6 exons. Lineage: Eukaryota; Viridiplantae; Streptophyta; Magnoliopsida; Fabales; Fabaceae. The record is from RefSeq and is a predicted model, not a curated record.